RNAcentral lists this ribosomal RNA (289 nucleotides) under uncultured bacterium. RNAcentral describes it as "partial 16S ribosomal RNA". It matches the Rfam family "Bacterial small subunit ribosomal RNA", at positions 773 to 1060 of the family's 1533-position model. The record is from RNAcentral.
GUGGAUUAGAUACCCUGGUAGUCCACGCUGUAAACGAUGUCAACUAGCCGUUGGUCCUAUAUACAGGAUUAGUGGCGCAGCUAACGCAUUAAGUUGACCGCCUGGGGAGUACGGCCGCAAGGUUAAAACUCAAAUGAAUUGACGGGGGCCCGCACAAGCGGUGGAGCAUGUGGUUUAAUUCGAUGCAACGCGAAGAACCUUACCUACCCUUGACAUCCAGAGAAUCUGUUAGAGAUAGUAGAGUGCCUUCGGGAGCUCUGAGACAGGUGCUGCAUGGCCGUCGACAGCU